CAGGCCUGACACAUGCAAGUCGAGCGGGCAUCCUUGUGUCGUCAGCGCCGGACGGGUGAGUGACACGUGGCGACGUACCCUUUGGUUCGGCAUAACGGUGGGAAACUAGCGCUAAUACCGCAUACGCCCUUUUGGGGAAAGGCUUGCUCCCGAAGGAUCGGCCCGCGUCUGAUUAGCUAGUUGGUGGGGUGAUGGCCUACCAAGGCGACGAUCAGUAGCUGGUCUGAGAGGAUGAUCAGCCACACUGGGACUGAGACACGGCCCAGACUCCUACGGGAGGCAGCAGUGGGGAAUAUUGGACAAUGGGCGCAAGCCUGAUCCAGCCAUGCCGCGUGAGUGAUGAAGCCCUUAGGGUUGUGAGGCUCCUUCCUCCGGGACGAUAAAAACUGUAGCCGGGAGGAAUAAGCCCCGGUUGGCCUCGUGCCAGCAGCCCGCGGUCAU
Molecule: ribosomal RNA, 441 nt
Filed under: uncultured bacterium
Lineage: Bacteria
Description: bacterial SSU rRNA
Rfam family: Bacterial small subunit ribosomal RNA
Source: RNAcentral